GGGGAGGCCGGCUGGUCCGGAGGCGCCCGCGCGCUCAUAGCGGCCCACGAGUGCCCGCCCCCUGCGUGUCAGGGAUGCGGAGUCUCAAGCACGCCAUCCUCCCGUUUAACAUUCUUCCCCCAUGCAUCACGUAAGGGUCUUCCCGCCGAAAGAGCAGCCUCAUGCCGUCAACGGAAGAUCCAGGGGGGACAAGAGACAAAUGUUCAAUUUUUCACACUUUGAGGGACAACUCCCGUCCCGUGACCAUAUAUGGCAUGAAAUGUUGCAAUACCCGUGUUGGAAGGAGUAUGGUUAAAGAUGCGCGCUUCAUCUGUGCCUCCAGGCUCUAGAUGUUGCGAAAUCUUGUAGCCUAGAAAACGGUAGGUAAAGAAACGCAUGGGCUUCCUCCCAGCUCCUUCAUGCAGAACUGUACAGGAUGUUUGCCUGAGGUCAGAAUUACAUGUUGGCAGCUAGAGCGGUAGACGGAGGCCCUGGGCGUUUAACACCCACAGUACAUGCAAAUAUAUAUUCAAGACUUUUAAUCUCUUCCUGGUGUGAAGAUCUGAAAUUCUGCCUCUUAAGCUAAACCGAUAAAAGAUGAAAGUUAACAAUCCUAAAAUGGCAACGGUGGUGUACUAUCCGACCUGGGGCAGACUUUGGUAAUAUGGCCCUCAAUAUUUCUUAUCUUCACAAUAAUUCGGACUCAUUGAAGAGGUAAUUGUAUCAAGAGGUAAUUGUAUCAAGUGUUGGCAAAUAACUAGUUUGCAGUUCUGAAAGAACUGAAAAGUAAAUGUUUUAUCAAUUAACCAAUAUUCCCAUCCAAAUAUUAAACUGACACUAAAGUGAAAAGUCUCUCUAUAUUUUCCUGUUCUCUUUCACUUUAAUUUCUUUCUUCCUAGACUCUUAACUGCCUUGCCUCAUGACCUCUCACUCAUUCUAAGUGUCUCUUCCUUCUUCAGGUUCUAAUCACUGCCUUGGGAUGUUCCUGUCGAUCACAAGCAACUCCUCAUCAAUGAAAAGUAUUGCUGGCUCAGGCCAAAGUAGCCUGGCAUCCUGUUCUCACAGUGGCUAACUGGAUGCCUAUGGGAACUCCAUAAACAGGACUUGAGCACAAUUCAGAACAUACAUACAGAAUCUUCCAACAUUCAGCUUCACUGUCUAGGCCCCAAACCUAGUCUUACAAGUGAGGGACUUUCUCCAACCUUAUAUAAACUAUAUUAAGUCCACUGCUUACUCCAAAUGUUGUAACCUUUCCUCAUAGUGGAGUUGCUUCAUCCUCUUUUUCACUUUGAUUGCCCUUUUUCUGUACACUUCCCAGCUCUGAAAGGGCUUGUGGGUAUUGCACACCCCUCCCCACUUCUUGCAGUCAACACCAUUGAUUUUCCACCAGCUUCCUGAAGGCACUCUUACCAGAACUUUUUGUUGCUCAGGUGUGCAUUUGACUUCAGCACCUUUCUCUGGCAAACAAUUUAUGGAUCACAGUGCAGGUGGAGAUUGUGUAUGAUCACUUGCUAUUUGUCAUAGCUGGGUGGGUAGCAGUAGUCCUACAUGAAUAAGUUGUUUUAGGUUUACUUCCAAUUAUAAGCAGGAUGCAAACUGGGACUUUCACAGCAGAAGAAAUAAAUUUCCCAAUGUUACCUAUGGGGCACUCACUGGUUCUAGGUGUUAACAGAAUAAAAGAGUAGGACCAGACUUGCAAGCAAAGUGUCUCUGUGGGAAAGGCCAUGAGGAAAUACAAGAACCUCUGGAGGACCACAGGUUCCUCAUCCCUAGGAUGCACAGAUUAUAGUCUUGCACUGGUUUAGAAAGGGUGAGGGGCAAGCAUAUAAAGCACCAAAAAUGAUGGAGGGGAGAAGUAUGUCAAGAAAAGCUUCCGCAGACUCAACCAUACUGUCAAUAUAGAUAGCAAGCUUCCAUUAAUUCACCACUGUCCAUAGGACAAUCUCUUCCAAAUCACAUGCCUCACUGUAGCCAUGUUUAAUGGGGGGAAGGCACCUCAGAGGGGUUUGGCAGACCUCUUUCUAAGGUGCCUCUCCCCCUCCAUUAAACUUUGCCACAGCUGCAUUUACAGUAGCGUGAACACACUUCAGAAAGCGCUUUGCCAACCUCCCUCCAUUAAACAGCUCACCUGGGCAACUUGCACUUCUUGCUUAUUUGCCUGCCUGCCAUUUUGUCAUCAUGCUGGAGUUGGCAUGGCCACACAAACCAUUGGCCACACAAACUGAAGCAUGAUGGCAGCCUUAGAUUUUUAUGUAUACAGGAAAAUUGAUAACUCUACCUCCUCCUAUGAAGCCUUCCCAGUAUGCCCAUAUUACACAGAGAACUGUGUGUGUCACAAGACCCAGAGUUCUGCUGUGAUUGAGUUUGGAUCGGCAAGAGGAGGAAGAUUAAAGUGGAGGUGCUGAAUGGCGGGAACCUGAGCUGGAGGAGGGAAGACCUCCUUCUUCUGCCCCAACCUCUGCCUCUUUGGAAGGAGAGCCUUGCUGCAAAGCAGAGAGCCCCAGUGGAUAUUGGGGAGGGCCAGGAGGCAGCAGUGACUAAAUAGGAAUGUGAACAGCAGAGUGCAAUCCUGUCACCUAGAACCAGGUACUGUCUUUGCAGAUUGGACUGAACCCACUCACCGUAACACACAUUUGUAUCAGGAUUACACAUUUGUAAUCCUGAUAUCCCCGCUAGUUUGAGUAAGUUUGGCAAGUGAGUGUGCCAUUCCUCAUCUUUAAAAGCUUGGCAGGCAGGGCAUGGAGAGUUGACAACAUUGUCAUUUCCAUCUAUUGAUGAACUUUUUGCCUUGUUCCUGAACUCCUGAAUCAUGUCCCCUGAGCUCUAUGUCUGCUGCCAAGUCUGUUCCAUUACUUGCCUAAAUAAAUAUCUCUUUCUUGCUCCCAA
Podarcis lilfordi (Lilford's wall lizard) is the source of this 2865-nucleotide non-coding RNA. Lineage: Eukaryota; Metazoa; Chordata; Lepidosauria; Squamata; Lacertidae. The record is from the annotation of a GenBank genome assembly.